AGCAGCCGCGGUAAUUCCAGCUCCAAUAGCGUAUAUUAAAGUUGUUGCAGUUAAAAAGCUCGUAGUUGAAUUUCGGGGUUUAUCCGUUGGUCGGGCUUUUUGGUCUGUACUGGCGUGAUGGAUUCUUACCUUCUGAAUAACCGGCAUGCCAUUAAUUUGGUGCGCCGGGGAAGCAGGACUGUUACCUUGAAAAAAUUAGAGUGCUUAAAGCAGGCUUAUGCCUGAAUACAUUAGCAUGGAAUAAUGAAAUAGGACGUUUGAUUCUAUUUUGUUGGUUUCUAGGAUCGACGUAAUGAUUAAUAGGGAUAGUUGGGGGCAUUAGUAUUCAAUUGUCAGAGGUGAAAUUCUUGGAUUUAUUGAAGACUAACUACUGCGAAAGCAUUUGCCAAGGACGUUUUCAUUAAUCAAGAACGAAAGUUAGGGGAUCGAAGACGAUCAGAUACCGUCGUAGUCUUAACCAUAAACUAUGCCGACUAGGGAUCGGAUGAUGUUAAUUUUUUAAUGACUCAUUCGGCGCCUU
RNAcentral lists this ribosomal RNA (520 nucleotides) under uncultured Acaulospora. Its description in RNAcentral is "SSU rRNA". It matches the Rfam family "Eukaryotic small subunit ribosomal RNA", at positions 569 to 1089 of the family's 1831-position model. Lineage: Eukaryota; Fungi; Glomeromycota; Glomeromycetes; Diversisporales; Acaulosporaceae. The record is from RNAcentral.